This 386-nucleotide ribosomal RNA is filed under the name uncultured bacterium. RNAcentral's name for it is "bacterial SSU rRNA". It matches the Rfam family "Bacterial small subunit ribosomal RNA", at positions 28 to 417 of the family's 1533-position model. The record is from RNAcentral.
GACGAACGCUGGCGGCGUGCUUAACACAUGCAAGUCGAGCGGUAAGGCCCUUCGGGUACGACGAGCGGCGAACGGGUGAGUAACACGUGGGUGACCUGCCUCUAGCUCUGGGAUAAGCCUGGGAAACUGGGUCUAAUACCGGAUAUGACUCCACGGCGCAUGUUGUGGGGUGGAAAGCCUUGUGUGGCUAGAGAUGGGCCCGCGGCCUAUCAGCUUGUUGGUGGGGUGANGGCCCUACCAAGGCGACGACGGGUAGCCGGCCUGAGAGGGCGACCGGCACACUGGGACUGAGACACGGCCCAGACUCCUACGGGAGGCAGCAGUGGGGAAUCUUGCGCAAUGGGCGAAAGCCUGACGCAGCGACGCCGCGUGAGGGAUGACGGCCU